This 30-nucleotide non-coding RNA is filed under the name Mus musculus (house mouse). The record is from RNAcentral. Lineage: Eukaryota; Metazoa; Chordata; Mammalia; Rodentia; Muridae.
UCCAUCAUACUUUAUAAGAUACAGGGAAGG